GACAGAGGAGCCAAGCGUUGUCCGGAUUGACUGGGCGUAAAGCGCACGCAGGCGGUCGUGCACGUGGGGUGUGAAAACUGGCGGCUUAACUGCCAGAGGCCACCUCAUACGGCGCGACUCGAGCCCUGCAGAGGUCCAUGGAAUUGCCGGUGUAGUGGUGAAAUGCGUAGAGAUCGGGAGGAACACCGGUGGCGAAGGCGGGUCUCUGGGCAAUUCCUGACGCUGAGGCGCGAAAGCGUGGGGAGCAAACGGG
This 253-nucleotide ribosomal RNA is filed under the name uncultured bacterium. RNAcentral describes it as "partial 16S ribosomal RNA". It matches the Rfam family "Bacterial small subunit ribosomal RNA", at positions 524 to 776 of the family's 1533-position model. The record is from RNAcentral.